GGAAUAUUGGGCAAUGGAGGGAACUCUGACCCAGCGACGCCGCGUGCGGGAUGAAGGCCUUCGGGUUGUAAACCGCUUUCAGCAAGGAAGAAGCGAGAGUGACGGUACUUGCAGAAGAAGCACCGGCUAACUAUGUGCCAGCAGCCGCGGUAAUACAUAGGGUGCAAGCGUUGUCCGGAAUUAUUGGGCGUAAAGAGCUCGUAGGUGGUUCGUCACGUCGGAUGUGAAAAUCUGGGGCUUAACCCCAGACCUGCAUUCGAUACGGGCGAGCUAGAGUGUGGUAGGGGAGGCUGGAAUUCCUGGUGUAGCGGUGGAAUGCGCAGAUAUCAGGAGGAACACCAAUGGCGAAGGCAGGUCUCUGGGCCAUUACUGACACUGAGGAGCGAAAGCGUGGGGAGCGAACAGGAUUAGAUACCCUGGUAGUCCACGCCGUAAACGGUGGGCACUAGUUGUGGGAACCUUCCACGGUUUCUGCGACGCAGCUAACGCAUUAAGUGCCCCGCCUGGGGAGUACGAUCGCAAGAUUAAAACUCAAAUGAAUUGACGG
RNAcentral lists this ribosomal RNA (547 nucleotides) under uncultured bacterium. RNAcentral describes it as "bacterial SSU rRNA". It matches the Rfam family "Bacterial small subunit ribosomal RNA", at positions 358 to 916 of the family's 1533-position model. The record is from RNAcentral.